GACGAACGCUGGCGGCGUGCUUAACACAUGCAAGUCGAACGGAAAGGCCCUGCUUUUGUGGGGUGCUCGAGUGGCGAACGGGUGAGUAACACGUGAGUAACCUGCCCUUUACUUUGUGAUAACUUCAGGAAACUGGGGCUAAUACCGGAUAGGAGCUCCUGCUGCAUUGUGGUUGUUGGAAAGUUUCGGCGGUUGGGGAUGUACUCGCGGCUUAUCAGCUUGUUGGUGGGGUAGUUGCUUACCAAGGCUUUGACGGGUAGCCGGCCUGAGAGGGUGACCGGACAAAGUGGGACUGAGAUACGGCCCAGACGCAUACGGGAGGCAGCAGUGGGGAAAAUUGAAAAAAGGGCGGAAGCCUGAUGCAGCAACGCCGCGUGCGGGAUGACGGCCUUCGGGUGGUAAACCGCUUUAGCCUGUGACGAAGCGUGAGUGACGGUAAUGGGGAAAGAAGCACCGGCGAACUACGU
RNAcentral lists this ribosomal RNA (467 nucleotides) under uncultured bacterium. RNAcentral describes it as "partial 16S ribosomal RNA". It matches the Rfam family "Bacterial small subunit ribosomal RNA", at positions 28 to 506 of the family's 1533-position model. The record is from RNAcentral.